Small nucleolar RNA from Saimiri boliviensis boliviensis (Bolivian squirrel monkey), 123 nucleotides. NCBI's taxonomy places the organism in Eukaryota, Metazoa, Chordata, Mammalia, Primates, Cebidae. The record is from Ensembl.
UCUGAGACUAGAGUCACAUCCUGACACAGCUCUUGUCCAAUGUACUGAAGUCCUCAGAAUCUGUUGGUCUUGAUCACUGAUGGGGCAACCAGUGUCCCCAUUAGUGCCCGGUCAGAAACAUAC